CUGGGUAUAGCUCAGUGGUAGAGCACAUGCUUAGCAUACAUGAGGGCCUGGAUUCAAUCUCCAGCACCAAAA
This 72-nucleotide transfer RNA is filed under the name Heterocephalus glaber (naked mole-rat). It matches the Rfam family "tRNA". From Rfam's summary of the family: Transfer RNA (tRNA) molecules are approximately 80 nucleotides in length. Their secondary structure includes four short double-helical elements and three loops (D, anti-codon, and T loops). Lineage: Eukaryota; Metazoa; Chordata; Mammalia; Rodentia; Bathyergidae. The record is from Rfam by way of RNAcentral.